Long non-coding RNA from Nyctereutes procyonoides (raccoon dog), 3089 nucleotides. RefSeq lists it as uncharacterized. The transcript is spliced from 4 exons. The record is from RefSeq and is a predicted model, not a curated record. NCBI's taxonomy places the organism in Eukaryota, Metazoa, Chordata, Mammalia, Carnivora, Canidae.
UGAGAGAGAGAGAGAGAGAGAGAGAGAGAAAGUGGGGGGAGAGGUGGAGGGAGAGAAUCUCAAGCAGACUCCACAAGUGCAGAGGCUCAAUCUUAUGACCUUGAAAUGAUGACCUGAGCCAAAAUCAACAAUUGGACACUUAACCAACUGAGCCACCCACACACCCCACUUAGUUACUUUCAAAAAAGGUUUUCUUAAAAAAAGAAAAAAGUCUUGUAUGUUUAUCCACAUGGUUACCAUUUCCAGUCCUCUUGAAGCAUUUGUAGAGAUUCAAAUUUUCAGCUGGUAUCUGUAUUUUUAUUUAAACACAUAUAAUAAAAAAAUAUAGUAAACACAUAUAAUAAACCCCAUAAUAAUUGUGAUUAGUCUUAUUGGCACUGUCAGUUAUCUUUUUGUAAAGUUAAAUAAGGGAUCCCUGGGUGGCGCAGCGGUAUAGCGCCUGCCUUUGGCCCAGGGCACGAUCCUGGAGACCCGGGAUCGAAUCCCACGUUGGGCUCCCGGUGCAUGGAGCUUGCUUCUCCCUCUGCCUAUGUCUCUGCCUCUCUCUGUGUGACUAUCAUAAAUAAAUAAAAAUUUUAAAAAAAGAAAGUUAAAUAAUAGACAAAGAUAUAUGUUAUUGAUCCAUGUAGUUAUCAUUUCCAGUGCCCUUUUUCAUUCUUUUGUCUGGAUAUUAAUUUCCAACAGGUUUAAUUUUCUUUCUGCCUGGAGGACUUUCUUUAAUAUUUAUUGUAAGAUAGGCCUCUAUCUUACAAUGAUAAAUUAGGAUAAAUGCUUUCAGAUUCUGGAUGUCUGAAAAAGUCUAUUUUACUUUCAUUUUUGGAGAACUGCUAGGUAUAUAGGCUGAUUUUUCCCCCCUUUAUUUCAAUAAUGUUACUCCACUGUCUUUGGCUUGUAUGGUUUACAGCAAGGAAUUUGCAGUCAAUGUUAUUUUGUUCUUCUGUACAUGGUUUUGUUUUUAUUUUUUCUGGCUACUUUUGUUUUCUUUUCUAUCUUGUUUUAAGUAAGUGAUUAUGAUAUGCCUUGGUGUAGUUUUCUUUAUGUAUUUUGUGUUUAAGAUUUAUUGAACUUGGAGCAACUGGGUGGGUCAGUAGUUUGGGUGUCUGACUCUUGAUUUCAGCUCAGGUCAUGAUCUCAGGGUCAAGGGACCCUGAGUCAGGUUCUACCCUGGGCAUGGAGCCUGCUUGGGGAUCUCUUUCUCCCUCUCCUUAUGCCCCUUCCCCAUCUCUCUCUCUCUCUCUCAAAAAAAAAAAAAAAGAAUUAUUGAACUUUCUGGAUCUGGGAACUUAAAGUUUUCAUCAAAUUUGGAAAAUGUCCAGCCAUUAUUUCUUCAAAUAUUUUUUCUGCCAUUUGCCUUUUCUUUCCUUUUGGGGCUCUAAUUACACAUAUAUUGUGCUGCUUUAAAUUUUCCUACAGCUCACUGACAUUCUAUGGGUUUGCUCUAAAUGUUUCAUUUUGGAUAGUUUCUAUUCUAAAUGUUUACUAACCUUUUCUUCUGUAAUACCUAAUCUGCUGUUAAUCUGAUCCAGCAAAUUUUUCAUCUCAGGCAUUAUAACUAUUAUAAUGACUGUUUUAAUGAUCUUGUUUUCUAAGGGUGCCUGGGUGGCUCAAUUUGUUAAGGGUCUGACUCUUGAUUUCAGCUAGGUCAUGAUCUAAGGGUUGUGAGAUCAAAUCCCAUGUUGAGGUCCAUGCUCAGAGCAGAGUCUGCUUGACAUUCUCUCCUUCUCUCUGCCCUUGCUCCCAUUUACGCUCUCUCUCUCUCUCUCUAAAAUAAAUAAAUAAAAUCUUUUUUUAAAAAAUCUUAUUUUCUAAUUCCAUCUUCUGUAUCAUUUCUGAGUCAGUUUCAUUUAAUUAACUCUGCUUUCCUCAUUACAGGCUAUGUUUUCCAGUUGAUCGGUAUAUCUAUACGUUUUGAUUGGAUGUUAGGUAUUGUAUAUUUUACUAUGUUUGCUGUUGAAUAUUUUAUUUUUCUGUAAAUAUGCUGUAUCUUUUUUUUGCAAUCCAGUUAAAUUGCUUGGAAAUAAUCUGAUCCUCUCUAGUGUUGUGUUUGUUUAUUUCGUUGGUGUCAGAGCAACAUUUAAGACUAAUACUUCCCCACUACUCAAGCAAAAACCUUCUGAAGACUAUAUCUGAUGCUUCAUGAAUUAAGAAGUUUGGCACCCUGACAGUCCCAGCUUUGUCUUCUCAGUUCAGAGGUGUUACAAAAUUCUGCCUGGGUCUGCUUCCUUGCAUUAAAGGAGAGUUCCUCAGAAACUGUCUCCUGAAUGCCUCGUGAGGGCAUGCCUGAUUGCCAGAAUCUAGAUCAUGUGACUGUACCAUAGUUGGCUGAGGUCUGUAAUUGUAUGGAUUUUCUGGCUUCUGCCUUGGGAAGCGGAGAUUCAUAACAUGGAACACAGCAAGACUAUAUCUGCUCAAUUUACUCCAACGAGAUGCAGCAUGUAAAUAAGUCCCAGUUACUCUUGACAGAAGCAUGUAUCCCACCUCUGAGCCUGGGCCACUGAAACCUUUACUGUAUUCCUUGCCAGGUGGAUGCAGAAGAUUCAGAGAGACAUUAAGAGAUAGCAGGGCCCCAAGAGACAUGAGCAGACAGUUCUCCAAAGAAGACAUCCAGAUGGCCAACAGAUACAUGGAAAGACGUUCAACAUCACUAAUCACUAGGGAAAUGCAAACCCAAACUACAAUGAGAUAUCACUUCACUCCUGUCAGAAUGGCUAAAAUCAACAACAUAAGAAACAACAGGUGUUGGCCAGGAUGUGGAGAAAAAGGAACCCUCAUGCACUGUUGGGGAUAAUGCAAACCGGUGCAGCCACUCUUGGAAAACAGUAUGAAGCUUUCUCAAGAGCUUAAAAAUAGAACUAUUCCAUGAUCCAGUAAUUGCAGUACUAGGUAUUUACCCCCGAAAUAAAAAAACACUAAUUCCAAGGGAUACAUGCAUCCCUAUGUUUAUUGCAACAUUAUUUACAAUAAUCAAACUAUGGAAGCAGCCCAAGUGUCAUCUAUUGAUAGAUGAAUGGAUACAUGAAUGGAUAAGACAGUGUAGUGUGUAUACAUACAAUGGAAUAUUACUCAGCAAUAAAAAAGAAUGAAAUGUC